RNAcentral lists this long non-coding RNA (220 nucleotides) under Elaeis guineensis (African oil palm). RNAcentral describes it as "long non-coding RNA (EGUI_LNC014221)". The record is from RNAcentral. Lineage: Eukaryota; Viridiplantae; Streptophyta; Magnoliopsida; Arecales; Arecaceae.
AUCAGACAGCCAUGAAUGGUUCUAAGAUUGAUUGAGACUCAGUAUUCCUAGUGUAACAGUAUUUUUGAGAUUCUGGAGCCUGUGUAGCUCUGAUUGAUGAGCAGUUUAUUACGUUGAGUAGCUGGUGACAUCCUGGAGGUACAAAAAGGCUUCAAGAGAGGUUUCAAAGAAUUUUUAUGAGGAUUUUAGGACUUCUUAUUGAGAGACUCUUGUACAAAGA